UAGAUGAUCAGUGAGAUUCUGCCCAUUUCCUACCUGAUCAAACCGAAGGUACAAGAUUCAGGAUUCUUCUCGGCAGAAACAUGUGUCCCACUAAUCUGUUUAGAACUGUGAUAUGAAUUAUGAUUCUUCUCUCUCUAUGUAUAUAUACAUCCAUAUGAACAACAUCUGAAGAGAGAGAGAGAGAGAGACAGGGGCUGGAGUGGAGUUGUUGGGGGAGAAGUGGGGUAGAUCUGGUAUUGUUUGGAACUUGGAUUGUAAAUUAUUUUCAAAAAUAUAAAAUUGCAGUAAAAGAAAGAGGAUGAAAGUAGGAGGAG
RNAcentral lists this long non-coding RNA (314 nucleotides) under Erythranthe guttata (spotted monkey flower). RNAcentral describes it as "long non-coding RNA (EGUT_LNC002638)". Lineage: Eukaryota; Viridiplantae; Streptophyta; Magnoliopsida; Lamiales; Phrymaceae. The record is from RNAcentral.